This is a long non-coding RNA of Triticum dicoccoides, 2486 nucleotides long. RefSeq lists it as uncharacterized. NCBI's taxonomy places the organism in Eukaryota, Viridiplantae, Streptophyta, Magnoliopsida, Poales, Poaceae. The transcript has 2 exons. The record is from RefSeq and is a predicted model, not a curated record.
CUUAUCCUUUCGUCUCUCUUCCCGAUUUCUGCCCCCGACUGAGCUCUCCUCUCUCUCCAGUUCGUGCCGACGACCGCCAGCGGUCUUUCUCUUGUUCGUACCGACGACCAGGCCGACGGGCGGCUGGGGCUUUGGCCAUGCAGCUCGGAAUCGGCGCCCGGCCAACCAUGCUCUGGUUGUUCAUACUCUCCGGCAGCCAGAGAGCAUGGAUCUGGCGUCUCCAUAGACUCCUGCCCAGAUGGGGAUCGAGCUGACAUUCGUUCUAGCUGCCGAGGAGGAGGCUCGUGGCCAGCGGUGUUGGAGCGUUGCGGCCGAAGAGGGAGGAGAAGCUUGCUUUCCAUGGACGCAGCUGCUGGGGUGCCCGAUUUGUAGUCUCCCUCCUCGGCUCCGGCGUAUAGAACGGAUGGAUCAGGUACCCCUCUACUCUGCUGGACAGGGAGCACGGAUCCAGCGUGCCCUUUGUAUCCAGCACAUGCAGCACUCGUACGUGCAAUUCCUCAUUUGCUUGGUAAUGCUCCUCUGUUUCUGAUCUCCUUUCAAUUCGUGCGAAAGCAGUUGAUUUGCUGCAGUGUACGUGCAAUUUUUAGCACAUACUGUAGUUUUGAAUUGGCUAAUUAUUAUUUGCAACAGCCAACAGUAGUGAGGCUGGAGUGGACGGUGGAGCUUUUUGUUUAAUAUUGACAAUUGGUUUGUGUAGAUGCGAUAUGAACAAAUUCUGAUGCCCAAACCAUUUUGUUUUGUUGACAAACUAUGUCAAGUCAUUUAGUGCAAAGUGUUUUACUGCAUGAUCCAUCCGAUGUGCAUUCUGUUGAUGCCAAUGUCUUCUACAACUGAUUAAAAGACUGGGUGGCAAGACGGUCUUCAAGUUUGAUUGUGUGAAAUAAUUUUUAUGGUGAUGGUACAAUAGUCUGUGUUAAUCUAGUGCUAAUUAGGAUCUAAGUGUGAUAUGAAGCAAAUCUGUAUUUGUUGUUUGUUUGUCUAUGAACAGAAAUCAGAAAAAGAAAAGGGUCUUUGUUCAUUGUCCAAUUUAGUGAUGGAACAGUGACAUUUUGCUCAUUAUGUGCCCUAUGGAAUACUAUAUUUCAGGAGGAUUAGUUCUUUUUUUAAAGUGUACAAAUACUUACUUGUACCAUUUUUGCAGUGUAAACUGAUACUAAAUUUUCUGCUGUGUUGGGUUGUGCAGUAUCUCUUUGUAUGUAAACCAUUAUAUUCUUUUUUUGCGCAUAGUAAACAAUCAUAUUCGGCAAGACAUAUGCAGUGUGAUAUUUUGUUUGUAGUUUUUCGGUCAUCUGUUUAAUGUGAACUAUCUAAAAUUCACUAACAAUUUCUCAGGUGUGUCUCGCCACUCUAGUUAGCAGCCAGUGUGCCGCUGUUGGUACUAAGUCAAGGCAAUCAAUGCAGAAUGGAGAUAUGUUACUCCGAAUAUAAAAUUGGUGGGAGAGGGGAAACAUGGACUGACAUGCACUGUUUACACAUCAGGCCUAUCGUCAGGAUUUGACAGGUGGGAAAAGGAGACAAGCAUAUACAUGAUUUAUGAUGUGGUAUACAGACUAAAAUACUCCUGCCUUCAUCAAUCUUGGAGCAGCUGAGUGGUCCUGAUAUAGAGAGCAGCUGAGCUCGGGAGCCAUAUUGGAUAUCCCGUCAUGUUUGCCUUUUGUACAGGAAUAGGCAAGCACAAAGAAGAUCUGAUCGUAGACGCUCAUUGUCUUAGGCCCGAAAGAGAUCACUGCUUCUCCACCGUCUCUUUCUCUCCUGGUUAGAAACAACCUCAACAAUCUUGCAGCAUGUCUCUCCCUUCAGCUAUCUCCCACCCCAUGGAAGCUAACCCAUGUCUCUAUCAAAACCAAGUUGGAGCAUUGAUCCGCUGUGCUAAAGGAGCUUAUUGACCCAAAACUGUUUUCCUCAUCUGUAUCAGGUUAAUUUUCUCACAAUAUUUUGUUCUUAUUUUUCCUUGCAGGUUUAUCUUGAAUACACAGUAACUUUGGAUUUGGGUUCAAUUUGUUUUGUGUCAUGUGCUUGGAUAGUGUUGUGCUCUCCAGGGAUGCAAUCCCGGCUCUUCUCACAUACAACCUAUGGAUACCUUAUGGAGAUUGGUUGGAGCAUAAUCUUCUCACGUACAACCUAUGUAUACAUAAUGGGCAAUGGUUGGGGCAUAACGAUGCUAAUCAGGCGAGCUUAUAAAUUAACAUGUUGUCUAAGCACAUGACAACAGCAUGAAGGAGCCUAAUGUCGUCGUUGGUCAAAUACUAAUAAAUUUUUGUAUCGACAAAACAUGUCCAAGACCCUCUAUGGGAGAGUUAACAUCUUCAAUGGCAUGCCCAGUCUUCAUUUACGGCUGAUGUUGCUUGAUUUGCUGGUCCGCCACAAUCUCCUGUUCAAGAAAGUUCCUUGCAAAGCUGCCAUGUCCUGGCUGUUGUAGGUUACAAAAUUGACUUCUCAUGAAUUUGCUUCUAACCCUUUUUAGCCAGAAUAUAGUGCAGAUGUUA